This 444-nucleotide ribosomal RNA is filed under the name uncultured prokaryote. RNAcentral's name for it is "bacterial SSU rRNA". It matches the Rfam family "Bacterial small subunit ribosomal RNA", at positions 355 to 796 of the family's 1533-position model. The record is from RNAcentral.
UGAGGAAUAUUGGACAAUGGGCGAGAGCCUGAUCCAGCCAUGCCGCGUGCAGGAAGACUGCCCUAUGGGUUGUAAACUGCUUUUGUACGGGAAGAAACCCCCCAACGUGUUGGGGGCUGACGGUACCGUAAGAAUAAGCACCGGCUAACUCCGUGCCAGCAGCCGCGGUAAUACGGAGGGUGCGAGCGUUAUCCGGAAUCAUUGGGUUUAAAGGGUCCGUAGGCGGGCGAUUAAGUCAGGGGUGAAAGUCUGCGGCUCAACCGUAGAAUUGCCCUUGAUACUGGUUGUCUUGAAUUACCGUGAAGUAGUUAGAAUGAGCAGUGUAGCGGUGAAAUGCAUAGAUAUUGCUCAGAAUACCGAUUGCGAAGGCAGGCUACUAACGGUACAUUGACGCUGAGGGACGAAAGCGUGGGGAGCGAACAGGAUUAGAUACCCCCGUAGUCC